UACAGAGGGUGCAAGCGUUAAUCGGAAUUACUGGGCGUAAAGCGCGCGUAGGCGGUUGGGUAAGUCGGUUGUGAAAUCCCCGGGCUUAACCUGGGAAUUGCAGUCGAUACUGCCCGGCUAGAGUGUGGAAGAGGGAAGCGGAAUUUCCGGUGUAGCGGUGAAAUGCGUAGAUAUCGGAAGGAACACCAGUGGCGAAGGCGGCUUCCUGGUCCAACACUGACGCUGAGGCGCGAAAGCGUGGGUAGCGAACAGG
RNAcentral lists this ribosomal RNA (253 nucleotides) under uncultured bacterium. RNAcentral describes it as "partial 16S ribosomal RNA". It matches the Rfam family "Bacterial small subunit ribosomal RNA", at positions 524 to 776 of the family's 1533-position model. The record is from RNAcentral.